AUUGAACGCUGGCGGCAGGCCUAACACAUGCAAGUCGAACGGUAACAGGAAGCAGCUUGCUGCUUCGCUGACGAGUGGCGGACGGGUGAGUAAUGUCUGGGAAGCUGCCUGAUGGAGGGGGAUAACUACUGGAAACGGUAGCUAAUACCGCAUAAUGUCGCAAGACCAAAGAGGGGGACCUUCGGGCCUCUUGCCAUCGGAUGUGCCCAGAUGGGAUUAGCUUGUUGGUGGGGUAACGGCUCACCAAGGCGACGAUCCCUAGCUGGUAUGAGAGGAUGACCAGCCACACUGGAACUGAGACACGGUCCAGACUCCUACGGGAGGCAGCAGUGGGGAAUAUUGCACAAUGGGCGCAAGCCUGAUGCAGCCAUGCCGCGUGUAUGAAGAAGGCCUUCGGGUUGUAAAGUACUUUCAGCGGGGAGGAAGGGAGUAAAGUUAAUACCUUUGCUCAUUGACGUUACCCGCAGAAGAAGCACCGGCUAACUCCGUG
This 490-nucleotide ribosomal RNA is filed under the name uncultured bacterium. RNAcentral's name for it is "partial 16S ribosomal RNA". It matches the Rfam family "Bacterial small subunit ribosomal RNA", at positions 30 to 507 of the family's 1533-position model. The record is from RNAcentral.